Molecule: ribosomal RNA, 301 nt
Filed under: uncultured bacterium
Lineage: Bacteria
Description: partial 16S ribosomal RNA
Rfam family: Bacterial small subunit ribosomal RNA
Source: RNAcentral
CAGUAGCCGCGGUAAUACGGAGGGUGCAAGCGUUAAUCGGAAUUACUGGGCGUAAAGCGUGCGUAGGCGGUUCGUUAAGUCUGUUGUGAAAGCCCCGGGCUCAACCUGGGAAUGGCAAUGGAUACUGGCGAGCUAGAGUGUGUCAGAGGAUGGUGGAAUUCCCGGUGUAGCGGUGAAAUGCGUAGAGAUCGGGAGGAACAUCAGUGGCGAAGGCGGCCAUCUGGGACAACACUGACGCUGAGGCACGAAAGCGUGGGGAGCAAACAGGAUUAGAUACCCCGGUAGUCCCUGUCUCUUAUAC